CACAAACAAAAAAAGCGAUAGGGAUCCUUAUCCCUUUGUUAUUUGUUACUUUUAUGCUUCCACUUCUUAUCACCUACUGAGAAGUCCCUAGAAUUUCAUAUCCAGCCCUCUUACUUUUAAUAUUGGUCAUUAAUACCUACACUACAUGUUCAACACACAUGUUUGGCUGUACUUCUGAACACCUCCGUGUUCCUAGUGAAGUGAAAUUUAUCCAUUUAUAUGUAAACAAUUAUUCUAGACAAAUUUUCUGACAUUUGUU
RNAcentral lists this long non-coding RNA (259 nucleotides) under Hordeum vulgare. RNAcentral's name for it is "long non-coding RNA (HVUL_LNC004449)". The record is from RNAcentral. Lineage: Eukaryota; Viridiplantae; Streptophyta; Magnoliopsida; Poales; Poaceae.